Molecule: long non-coding RNA, 317 nt
Filed under: Olea europaea (common olive)
Lineage: Eukaryota; Viridiplantae; Streptophyta; Magnoliopsida; Lamiales; Oleaceae
Description: long non-coding RNA (OEUR_LNC005736)
Source: RNAcentral
UAAAUGUUAGUUAGUCCCACAUUGGUUAGAAAGGAAAACAUUCCUCUCAAAUUAGGCUAUAAAUAGGAUACCUCUCUUGUAAACAAUCACACUAUUCAAUACAAUUCUCUUCUCUUUGUAUUGUCUUAUUUUCUCUCUUAAAUUCAACUUGGUAUCAGAGCUACUAUUCUUAGUGUUCUCGAUAUAUCAAGAGUUGAGUAUGCUCUGUGAUUGCCACUAUUAGUGGAUCCUUCACAUCAGAAAAAUCUCUUGUAUAUCCUUUUCAUACCGUUAGGUCGUCGCUAUAGUCGGAGUCUUAUUCUCCAUCGACAUCAUCU